AGUGAACGCUGGCGGUAGGCCUAACACAUGCAAGUCGAACGGCAGCACAGUAAGAGCUUGCUCUUACGGGUGGCGAGUGGCGGAAGGGUGAGGAAUAUAUCGGAAUCUACUUUUUCGUGGGGGAUAACGUAGGGAAACUUACGCUAAUACAGCAUAUGACCUACGGGUGAAAGCAGGGGAUCUUUGGACCUUGCGCGGUUGAAUGAGCCGAUGUUGGAUUAGCUAGUUGGCGGGGUAAAGACCCACCAAGGCGCGGAUCCGUAGCUGGUCUGAGAGGAUGAUCAGCGACACUGGAACUGAGACACGCUCCUGACUCCUGCGGGAGGCAGCAGUGGGGUAUAUUGGACAAUAGUGGCAAGCCUUGUCCAACCAUACCACGUGUGUGAAGAAGGCCUUCCGUGUGUAAAGCCCUUUUGUUGGGAAAAAAAAGCAUCAGGUUAAGACCCCGCUGUUCUGACGGUACCCAAAGAAUAAGCACCGGCUAACUUCGUG
This 492-nucleotide ribosomal RNA is filed under the name uncultured bacterium. RNAcentral describes it as "partial 16S ribosomal RNA". It matches the Rfam family "Bacterial small subunit ribosomal RNA", at positions 29 to 507 of the family's 1533-position model. The record is from RNAcentral.